This 252-nucleotide ribosomal RNA is filed under the name uncultured bacterium. Its description in RNAcentral is "partial 16S ribosomal RNA". It matches the Rfam family "Bacterial small subunit ribosomal RNA", at positions 524 to 776 of the family's 1533-position model. The record is from RNAcentral.
UACGUAGGGUGCAAGCGUUAUCCGGAAUCACUGGGCGUAAAGGGUGCGUAGGCGGUUUGACAAGUCAGAAGUGAAAGGCAAUGGCUCAACCAUUGUAAGCUUUUGAAACUGUCAGACUUGAAUGCAGGAGAGGUAAGUGGAAUUCCUAGUGUAGCGGUGAAAUGCGUAGAUAUUAGGAGGAACACCAGUGGCGAAGGCGACUUACUGGACUGUUAUUGACGCUGAGGCACGAAAGCGUGGGGAGCGAACAGG